GUGAGUCUGACAUCUGUUUCCUGACUGGAGGCCUGCUCUGAGCUGCAGAUGGAACAAAUACAUUAAUAGAGAAGUGAGACUGAGUGGAAGCGUCCAAACAGUCCAAACAGUUAGUUUCAGUUCCUCAAACAUGGAGGGGUCUUAGGAUGAGUUGGGGGGGGGGGCUGGUGGAACAGUCCAGAAUAGAUGGAUUUAGUUCCUCCAGAGCACGCAGAGGCCAUGAGGUCAGUGGAUGGGAGCAGUGCACGGAGGGUGAUGGAUGUUGUCAUCACGUAUGUUAAUUAAGUGUGCAGUCAUUGCAUAUGCAAAAGGUUCAGUUGUUGUAUAAAUUGCACUGGAUCGAGACACGAGUUGGGAGUCGUUGCGAGGUGGUCACUCGUUGCAAGCCAGGGUAGAAAUGCUCUGAGCAAAGGGGAUUUUACCACGUAACUCGGACGGGGGAUUCAACAUGAUCUGCAAAGGAAUAACUGUUCUAUUGGAAUUAUGGACUGAAGGAGUGCUCUUUCUGCACUGUUUGAGGAUUACGAAAGACUGUGAUCUAAAAAUAACGCUGACUGAAGGAAUAUAACUGAACUCUAUUAUUUCCAAAGGAUUAACACCAGAAUGGAUUAACAAAGUUUUUACUGGCCCAAAGAACAAAAAUGGAUACAAGCAGAUCUAAAUCUGGACCGAACCCCCUCCACCUCCUCCCUGGAGCAGAGCCCCAGUGGGGCGUCGGUCUUCAGACCAAAGAACUACAGACUCUUCACAACCUGCUCAAACUCUUGGUACAGGACCUCACCACAUGGGUCAAGAAGGUUUCCAUCUCAUUUCUACUCUGAAGCUCACCUUCUCCUGCUCAGACUGCUGACAAAUGUUUCUGCUGCUCUAAAGUCUGGACUCCAGAACUUCCUAAAAACUCUCAAAGUCUCUUCUGCUGCAGGUUGCUUUGUAGAACUGUUGCAGAAAACCUCACUAAACCACAUGGAGGGGCCUCAAGAUAGUCGUCCAAAUGAAAACGUACAAAAACCAAACUAGCACAACCCAAACGCUAAAGUCUCCUGCAGCCUACCAGAGAACCUCUGAGAACAGAGAAUCAGGACAGGAACUCUUACCUUCUGGACAACCAACGUUGGUUCUCAAACAAGAAUACAGAAUGUGUCUGACCAGAAACCUCUAAAGACUCACUACAGCCAAGAUAAAGACACAACUCACCUGCACCAAAUCCACUAAUCACUGCACACAUUAGCACCAUGUGCUAACUGUGGCUAAACAACCACAUUUACCAAGACAACUAUCCAGUACAAAGCCCUAAAACACACCAAGAAACACAUUAAAGAUGAUUUUACUGCUGGAAGCUGCAAGCCAACGCCUAAAGAACAAACUAAAGCAAUGGAGCCAAACACAGCUCAGUGGUGAAGAGAACCAGAGGAAAUGUUUGGCUGCAGCUAAAUAAAGCAGGAAGACACUGAGCUGCUCAGGUGUUCCUGAUAACACCAAGCAGCCACCUGGACAGCCAAUAGGAACACAGCUUACUGGAAGUCCAGAGGACUGGGUUAGUGAAGGAAAUUUAGUUUAAAGUUGAAGCAGAAAGUUAACAGAGAAAGUUGAAAACCACCUUCUGAUACCUGAAAUCUCUGAGUUUUCACACAAAGAACGCCUGAACAUGUCAAACUGGUUCCAUUGUAGAACCAUCAUUGUAAAAACGUCAUAGUAUGGUGUGUUGCUGUCUAGGGUCUCUGAAGAGCAACACAAAAACAGGACAAACACUGGUUUCCAGGGGGUUAGGAGGCUAUUUAUUUGAAAGAGUAAGUUUACAACAACACAUGAGGAGAAAAAUCACAAAAUCUGUCUUUAGUUCAUCUGAAAAUACUAGUUUUUGUCUUUUUUAUUGACCAAAAUUUUCAGGAAGUAGAUGAAGAAUAAUUAAAGCUCUCAUGUAGAAGUCCAACUUAUUUUGGAUCCUUGUGGAGAGUUUAAUCUUAGAGUUUGUAAAGCUGUUGAGUUUUUAGAGUCACAUGGAUUGUUUUGACAUUUAAUAACCGAGUCCUGAAAUAAAAUUACAGUUGUGGA
This is a long non-coding RNA of Amphiprion ocellaris (clown anemonefish), 2052 nucleotides long. RefSeq lists it as uncharacterized. The transcript is spliced from 2 exons. The record is from RefSeq and is a predicted model, not a curated record. Lineage: Eukaryota; Metazoa; Chordata; Actinopteri; Pomacentridae.